RNAcentral lists this ribosomal RNA (1434 nucleotides) under metagenome. RNAcentral's name for it is "bacterial SSU rRNA". It matches the Rfam family "Bacterial small subunit ribosomal RNA". The record is from RNAcentral.
UGCUUCGCUGACGAGUGGCGGACGGGUGAGUAAUGUCUGGGAAGCUGCCUGAUGGAGGGGGAUAACUACUGGAAACGGUAGCUAAUACCGCAUAAUGUCGCAAGACCAAAGAGGGGGACCUUCGGGCCUCUUGCCAUCGGAUGUGCCCAGAUGGGAUUAGCUUGUUGGUGGGGUAACGGCUCACCAAGGCGACGAUCCCUAGCUGGUCUGAGAGGAUGACCAGCCACACUGGAACUGAGACACGGUCCAGACUCCUACGGGAGGCAGCAGUGGGGAAUAUUGCACAAUGGGCGCAAGCCUGAUGCAGCCAUGCCGCGUGUAUGAAGAAGGCCUUCGGGUUGUAAAGUACUUUCAGCGGGGAGGAAGGGAGUAAAGUUAAUACCUUUGCUCAUUGACGUUACCCGCAGAAGAAGCACCGGCUAACUCCGUGCCAGCAGCCGCGGUAAUACGGAGGGUGCAAGCGUUAAUCGGAAUUACUGGGCGUAAAGCGCACGCAGGCGGUUUGUUAAGUCAGAUGUGAAAUCCCCGGGCUCAACCUGGGAACUGCAUCUGAUACUGGCAAGCAUGAGUCUCGUAGAGGGGGGUAGAAUUCCAGGUGUAGCGGUGAAAUGCGUAGAGAUCUGGAGGAAUACCGGUGGCGAAGGCGGCCCCCUGGACGAAGACUGACGCUCAGGUGCGAAAGCGUGGGGAGCAAACAGGAUUAGAUACCCUGGUAGUCCACGCCGUAAACGAUGUCGACUUGGAGGUUGUGCCCUUGAGGCGUGGCUUCCGGAGCUAACGCGUUAAGUCGACCGCCUGGGGAGUACGGCCGCAAGGUUAAAACUCAAAUGAAUUGACGGGGGCCCGCACAAGCGGUGGAGCAUGUGGUUUAAUUCGAUGCAACGCGAAGAACCUUACCUGGUCUUGACAUCCACGGAAGUUUUCAGAGAUGAGAAUGUGCCUUCGGGAACCGUGAGACAGGUGCUGCAAGGCUGUCGUCAGCUCGUGUUGUGAAAUGUUGGGUUAAGUCCCGCAACGAGCGCAACCCUUAUCCUUUGUUGCCAGCGGUCCGGCCGGGAACUCAAAGGAGACUGCCAGUGAUAAACUGGAGGAAGGUGGGGAUGACGUCAAGUCAUCAUGGCCCUUACGACCAGGGCUACACACGUGCUACAAUGGCGCAUACAAAGAGAAGCGACCUCGCGAGAGCAAGCGGACCUCAUAAAGUGCGUCGUAGUCCGGAUUGGAGUCUGCAACUCGACUCCAUGAAGUCGGAAUCGCUAGUAACCGUGGAUCAGAAUGCCACGGUGAAUACGUUCCCGGGCCUUGUACACACCGCCCGUCACACCAUGGGAGUGGGUUGCAAAAGAAGUAGGUAGCUUAACCUUCGGGAGGGCGCUUACCACUUUGUGAUUCAUGACUGGGGUGAAGUCGGAACAAGGUAACCGUAGGGGAACC